CGCAGCCGCGGUAAUUCCAGCUCCAAUAGCGUAUAUUAAAGUUGUUGCAGUUAAAAAGCUCGUAGUUGAAUUUCGGGGUUCUACUGUUGGUCGGGCAAUUGUCCAUACUGGCAUGUGGAAUUUCUACCUUCUGGGGAACCAUCAUGUUAUUAAUUUAGCGUGGUGGGAAACCAGGACCUUUACCUUGAAAAAAUUAGAGUGUUCAAAGCAGGCUUACGUCUGAAUACAUUAGCAUGGAAUAAUAAAAUAGGACGGUGGUCCUGUUUUGUUGGUUUCUGAAUCACCGUA
This 288-nucleotide ribosomal RNA is filed under the name uncultured Diversisporaceae. Its description in RNAcentral is "partial small subunit ribosomal RNA". It matches the Rfam family "Eukaryotic small subunit ribosomal RNA", at positions 569 to 863 of the family's 1831-position model. Lineage: Eukaryota; Fungi; Glomeromycota; Glomeromycetes; Diversisporales. The record is from RNAcentral.